AGUAUUUUGGAUCGAUCCCAGUCUCUUAAAUUAUUAUAGGUUCGUUCUUCUUGUUGAUCAUCAUAAUCUCGUUUCUGAAGUUCGCGAGUUUGAACUGGUGUUUCUGUUGUUUGAAUACUAAUGGAUAUUUAAAUGAUCUGAAUAAGGUUCUACCGUAUAGACGACGCCGAUGAAACAAUUGCUGGAAAAUUUUAGAUUUAGACGUCUUCUCGGCAUUUUCUUUAUACAAUUAUUUGCCUGACUGUGCUUGUUGGCCAACUUGCUAGAAAUUUACAAUCGCAUCAGUUCCUCUAUUUUGUUCAAGAAACAUAGUAAUUCUUUAUCACCUAAGCUACCUUCGUUGCUAGGUUUUUAGAGAGUUUAAUUUCACGAAACCUUUGGAGAAAAGGCUGGCUCCUAUUUCGUUAAGUUGGAGUUGUGUCUUUCGGAACAUUUAUUCUAUGGGAGAUGGGUAUUAGUAACCUGGUUUGUAAGAAAUAGUAUUGAUAACAUGAUCAGUAAGAUGUGCUUUUCUUGUUAUUUGGUUAGUUAUAGGAUUCGGGAUUCCAUUUUGAGGGUGAUGCUAGAUUCCCUUAAUUAUCCGUUGGCUUCAUUCAAAUGGCCAGAAUUCUAGAUUGGUCUUCCCAUCGAUGGUUUCAGUGUAGUCCUUGGAAUGUUAAUUUCCUCUUUCUUGAAUAUGUGUCGUUGAUAAAUGGGACUCAUUUGCUUUUGUGAUAAUGUUUGGUUGGGUCAUUCUUCAUUCUUCAAUUGCUUCUCCUUUCUCUGUCCUUAGUGGCAGGUUUGGGGAGCACCCAAGAAUGCACGUUUGAAGUUCAUGUAGAAAUAAAUAUCAUCUUUUGAAGUAUGCAAUGUACCAAGUAAAUCAUUUUGCUUUUGAUGCGACUUUUGUUUUUUUGUUGAAGAGAGAAAAAUAAAUGGAUGAAACAGGGGAGAUAGGACGUUCUAUUAACCUGAGUCUUUAGAGACCUAAAAACUGCUCUUCUCCAAUUGGGAUUAAAUAAGAGAAAUGGAGAUUAAUUACACAAGGAAUUUGUCACAGCACUCCAAGAUGUAAAAGAACAUAAUAAUCCCUAAAGUAUUGAAGUCUAAUUCGUUCCACUAAAGACUCAUUCAUUCCUUUCACUUUGAAACUCCCAAACAGUAUCUAAACAAACAUAUUCCCAUAGGAUUUCCUAGUCUUUGAAUGGUUGACUAUGAAGUGUUUGAAUGCUAGAAGUGUGGACAUACUUAGGGAUCGCUGUCUACUCUUGACACAUUGAUGAGCUUGGACAUCCAUAUCUAAUCGAUCCAAGCUGUGUUGUCUUUGAAGGUUUGGGAGGAAAUUUCCCCUUCAUUAUCCUUUGGUACUGUUCAAAGGAGAAGAAAAAUUAAUGGGGCCAAGCUUGUCAAAGCACUGUUAUGGGGAAUUUGGGCCAAGAGAAAUCAACAAUGUUUGAUGAUAAAAGUUCUGAUUGGGUGAAAAGCUCGAGUUACUUAGAUUGCAUGUGUAGAUCAACUGGCCUCUGUGUGUGCAAUAUAUAGUGAAUUAUGUAACUCUAAUACUAGUGGGUUCUUUCUCGUAAAUUCCUCAAGAGAUUUGAACAAACAAAUCCUUGCUAAAAGUUUUCCGUCAUCAGUGAAAACUUUGUUUGUGUUUUAGAAAAAGAUUAAACCAUCAGAUAUGUAUGAGCGAGCAUCACGAGGAUAAAUGAGACUUAUUUUUUAAAAGUUA
Long non-coding RNA from Cucumis sativus (cucumber), 1711 nucleotides. RefSeq lists it as uncharacterized. The record is from RefSeq and is a predicted model, not a curated record. NCBI's taxonomy places the organism in Eukaryota, Viridiplantae, Streptophyta, Magnoliopsida, Cucurbitales, Cucurbitaceae. The transcript is spliced from 2 exons.